RNAcentral lists this ribosomal RNA (495 nucleotides) under Triticum aestivum (bread wheat). Its description in RNAcentral is "partial small subunit ribosomal RNA". The record is from RNAcentral. Lineage: Eukaryota; Viridiplantae; Streptophyta; Magnoliopsida; Poales; Poaceae.
AUGGCGGCCUUCACCACCACCGCCGCCGCCGCCCCCGCCGCCUACGCCGUCGCCCGCUCGCCCGCACCGAGCCCCUCGCAGUGGGCACCAACCCGCCGCUCACCGCCGGCCGUCGGGCUCCGGCGAGCGGCCGCGCCGCCUCGCCGGGGAGCCGCGCUCCUGGUCAAAGCUAAGAAGGAAACAUUUUCUACCUUCGACGAGUUAUUGGAGAAGUCUGAAAAGCCUUUACUGGUCGACUUCUAUGCAACUUGGUGUGGUCCGUGCCAAUACAUGGUUCCCAUACUUCAAGAAGUGCAUGAGAAGAUGAGUGACAAGAUUAACAUUGUGAAAAUUGAUACAGAGAAAUAUACAAGCAUUGCAAAUAAGUAUAAAAUUGAAGCAUUACCAACUUUCAUUAUCUUCAAGGACGGGGAACCUUGUUAUCGCUUUGAGGGAGCGUUGCCUGCUGACCAGCUAAUCCUGCAGAUUGAGAGUGCUUUAGAAGCUCCAAAGUAG